AAUGAACGCUGGCGGCGCGCCUAAUACAUGCAAGUCGAGCGAGAAGACGUAGCAAUACGUUUGUAAAGCGGCGAACGGGUGAGGAAUACAUGGGGUAACCUACCCUCGAGUGGGGAAGUAACUAGCCGAAGGUUAGCUAAUACCGCGUACGCUUCUUGGACUUCGGUUCAGGGAGGAAAGCGAUGCCGAGAGUAUCGCGCUCUUGGAUGGGCUCAUGUCCUAUCAGCUGUUGGUGAGGUAACGGCUCACCAAGGCUUCGACGGGUAGCUGGUCUGAGAGGACGAUCAGCCACACUGGCACUGCGACACGGGCCAGACUCCUACGGGAGGCAGCAGUAAGGAAUAUUGCGCAAUGGGCGAAAGCCUGACGCAGCGACGCCGC
Molecule: ribosomal RNA, 381 nt
Filed under: uncultured bacterium
Lineage: Bacteria
Description: bacterial SSU rRNA
Rfam family: Bacterial small subunit ribosomal RNA
Source: RNAcentral